GGCUUCAUAGCUCAGUUGGUAGAGUAUCGCACCGGUAUCGCGGAGGUCAUGGGUUCAAAUUUUUUCAGGCUA
Molecule: non-coding RNA, 72 nt
Organism: Desmophyllum pertusum
Lineage: Eukaryota; Metazoa; Cnidaria; Anthozoa; Scleractinia; Caryophylliidae
Source: the annotation of a GenBank genome assembly